This 252-nucleotide ribosomal RNA is filed under the name uncultured bacterium. Its description in RNAcentral is "partial 16S ribosomal RNA". It matches the Rfam family "Bacterial small subunit ribosomal RNA", at positions 795 to 1052 of the family's 1533-position model. The record is from RNAcentral.
CCACACAGUAAACGAUGAAUACUCGCUGUUUGCGAUAUACAGUAAGCGGCCAAGCGAAAGCGUUAAGUAUUCCACCUGGGGAGUACGCCGGCAACGGUGAAACUCAAAGGAAUUGACGGGGGCCCGCACAAGCGGAGGAACAUGUGGUUUAAUUCGAUGAUACGCGAGGAACCUUACCCGGGCUUGAAUUGCAACUGAAUGAUGUGGAGACAUGUCAGCCGCAAGGCAGUUGUGAAGGUGCUGCAUGGUUGU